AAUAAAUUAAUCUUUCACUUUUUACCUACAUGUUUUUUGACUCUUCGUCUUAUUUGAAAAAAAAUUAUGAUUAAUAUUUUUGUUCUUAUUAGAUGAUAAAUCACGAAUAGUAUUUUAAGUGUGACUAUUUUUUUAAAAAGUUUCUUGGAGGUUUUUUAAAUAAGACGAAUGGUCAAACGCUGGAUACUAAAAACC
RNAcentral lists this microRNA precursor (195 nucleotides) under Oryza brachyantha (malo sina). Its description in RNAcentral is "MIR812 microRNA precursor family". It matches the Rfam family "MIR812 microRNA precursor family". Lineage: Eukaryota; Viridiplantae; Streptophyta; Magnoliopsida; Poales; Poaceae. The record is from Rfam by way of RNAcentral.